RNAcentral lists this small nucleolar RNA (107 nucleotides) under Oryza longistaminata (longstamen rice). Its description in RNAcentral is "snoRNA snoR71". It matches the Rfam family "Plant small nucleolar RNA R71". Rfam says of the family: R71 is a member of the C/D box family of snoRNAs containing the C (UGAUGA) and D (CUGA) box motifs. Multiple nearly identical copies of this snoRNA have been identified in Arabidopsis, and it is thought to function as a 2'-O-ribose methylation guide for 18S ribosomal RNA. The record is from RNAcentral. Lineage: Eukaryota; Viridiplantae; Streptophyta; Magnoliopsida; Poales; Poaceae.
AUCCCAUGAUGAGGAGAAGCGACCACGUACUCCUGCAGUUGUUCCCAUGCUUUCGGAACAGACUCGUCCCUCCUCUGCUGGAAACUUGAAAUCGUUCCACGAAGGGC